CGCUAGCGGCAGGCUUAACACAUGCAAGUCGAGGGGCAUCGCGAGUGGCAACACUUGGCGGCGACCGGCGAAAGGGUGCGUAACACGUGAGCAACCUGCCCGUAUCAGGGGGACAAGCGCUGGAAACGGCGUCUAACACCGCAUAACACCGUAGACGGCAUCAUAUACGGUUGAAAUUUAAGGAGGAUACGGAUGGGCUCGUGGGGCAUUAGCUAGUCGGCGGGGUAACGGCCCACCGAGGCGACGAUGUCUAGGGGAACUGAGAGGUUUAUCCCCCACACUGGAACUGAGACACGGUCCAGACUCCUACGGGAGGCAGCAGUGAGGAAUAUUGGACAAUGGUCGGAAGACUGAUCCAGCCAUGCCGCGUGAAGGACAAGGUCCUAUGGAUUUUAAACUUCUUUUGCGCGUGAGCAAUAAGGGCUAUGCAUAGUUCCGAUGAGAUUAGCGCGCGAAUAAGCAUCGGCUAACUCCGUGCCACCAGCCGCGGAAAUACGGGAGGAUGCGAGCGUUAUCCGGAUUUAUUGGGGUUUAAAGGGUGCGAAAGCAGGGACGUCAAAGUCACCGGUGGAAAUGUCCGGGCCCCAACCCCGGGAACUGCCGUUGAAACUGACGACCUGGAAUGCGGAUGCUGUGGGAGGAAUGUGUGGUGUAGCGGUGAAAUGCAUAGAUAUCACACAGAACACCGAUUGCGAAGGCAUCUCACAAAUCCGUUAUUGACGCUGAGGCACGAAAGUGCGGGGAUCGAACAGGAUUAGAUACCCUGGUAGUCCGCACAGUAAACGAUGAUGACUUGUUGUCGGCGAUAGACGGUCGGCGACAAAGCGAAAGCGAUAAGUCAUCCACCUGGGGAGUACGAUCGCAAGGUUGAAACUCAAAGGAAUUGACGGGGGCCCGCACAAGCGGAGGAGCAUGUGGUUUAAUUCGAUGAUACGCGAGGAACCUUACCCAGACUCAAAUGGGGGCCGGCAGGCGCGGAGACGCGCCCUCCCUCCGGGGCGGCCUUCAAGGUGCUGCAUGGUUGUCGUCAGCUCGUGCCGUGAGGUGUCAGGUUAAGUCCUAUAACGAGCGCAACCCCUACGUCCAGUUGCCAGCGGGUCGAGCCGGGGACUCUGGACGGACUGCCGGCGCAAGCCGAGAGGAAGGCGGGGAUGACGUCAAAUCAGCACGGCCCUUACGUCUGGGGCGACACACGUGCUACAAUGGCCGGUACAAAGAGACGCGAUACCGCGAGGUGGAGCAAAACUCAUAAAGCCGGUCUCAGUUCAGAUUGGAGUCUGCAAUUCGACUCCAUGAAGGCGGAAUUACUAGUAAUCGCGAAUCAGCAUGUCGCGGUGAAUACGUUCCCGGGGUUUGCACUCACCGCCCGUCA
RNAcentral lists this ribosomal RNA (1372 nucleotides) under uncultured bacterium. RNAcentral's name for it is "16S ribosomal RNA". It matches the Rfam family "Bacterial small subunit ribosomal RNA", at positions 34 to 1399 of the family's 1533-position model. The record is from RNAcentral.